AUCAAAGAAGGUCUUUCAAAAAAUCUUUGAAAGUGAAAAGAGAAGACGGUGCAAAUCCGUCACGGUCCCGCCGCUGUAAGGCUGAGCCCUCCUCACGAUGUCACUGGGAAACCGGGAAGACGAGGACAGGCGAGGACGCCGAGCCAGAAGAACUGCCCUCUUUGA
Molecule: non-coding RNA, 165 nt
Filed under: uncultured Dialister sp.
Lineage: Bacteria; Bacillati; Bacillota; Negativicutes; Veillonellales; Veillonellaceae
Source: RNAcentral